UUAAUUGAUUCACACAUACAUUAAAACAAAAAUAACUACACUGAAAUUCAGCUGGAAGCCUGGCUCCUCGUUUGUCAUAAAGCCUGCUGUUGGUGAUAGCUGACAAAGACCCUAAUGCGGAAUGGGUUGAGGUUCCCUUACUGACCUCACCUUUGUUUCUGUCUGCGAACAAGAGCCUUGAAACACACCAGAAUGCUUUAAGAAUCAUAGGAGGCAUGUCAUGUCUCUUCUUCACGUUGAGGCUGAACAUUCUUCUAGGCUGGUCAAGUAACCAAGAGAUCAGUUAAGUUUUUCAGGAAAACUCAUGAUCUACCUUUGAUGUGUUGACAUGUGAGAAACAGCUCUGAGACCUAUCAGCUGACAACUGCUACACCAGCAGAUAAUACUUAGUCACACUUUACAAAGGCACUUCAGUUUGCAAUUCCUGGUCUAAGAUUGAGCUUGGUUGAGAAAAGAAGGGAAAAAGAAAAAGACAAAGAGGAAGACAAAGAAGGGAAAAAGGAAGAGGAGGCAGAGGAAGAAGAAAUUUGCACCUCUCCCUGAAAUGAGGGGAAGGACUCGGUCAGUGUGAAAGGAUAUCCGUGUUAUGGAGGAAGCAAGCUUUGUAUCCAGAAAAGAAUGGUUCCUCUACCAGUCCACCCCAAAAUUUCUGGCAUGUUUUGUGACUAAGAAAAUGGCUCCCGCAGAGUCUGUAAACAAUUUUGGUUUUUCUUUUUCAGGAAUAGAAAAUCACUGGAGAAUAGAAA
This 746-nucleotide long non-coding RNA is filed under the name Equus asinus (donkey). RNAcentral's name for it is "lncRNA (ENSEASG00005032441.1)". The record is from RNAcentral. Lineage: Eukaryota; Metazoa; Chordata; Mammalia; Perissodactyla; Equidae.